RNAcentral lists this ribosomal RNA (1462 nucleotides) under Streptococcus thermophilus. RNAcentral's name for it is "bacterial SSU rRNA". It matches the Rfam family "Bacterial small subunit ribosomal RNA". The record is from RNAcentral. Lineage: Bacteria; Bacillati; Bacillota; Bacilli; Lactobacillales; Streptococcaceae.
CUGGCGGCGUGCCUAAUACAUGCAAGUAGAACGCUGAAGAGAGGAGCUUGCUCUUCUUGGAUGAGUUGCGAACGGGUGAGUAACGCGUAGGUAACCUGCCUUGUAGCGGGGGAUAACUAUUGGAAACGAUAGCUAAUACCGCAUAACAAUGGAUGACACAUGUCAUUUAUUUGAAAGGGGCAAUUGCUCCACUACAAGAUGGACCUGCGUUGUAUUAGCUAGUAGGUGAGGUAAUGGCUCACCUAGGCGACGAUACAUAGCCGACCUGAGAGGGUGAUCGGCCACACUGGGACUGAGACACGGCCCAGACUCCUACGGGAGGCAGCAGUAGGGAAUCUUCGGCAAUGGGGGCAACCCUGACCGAGCAACGCCGCGUGAGUGAAGAAGGUUUUCGGAUCGUAAAGCUCUGUUGUAAGUCAAGAACGGGUGUGAGAGUGGAAAGUUCACACUGUGACGGUAGCUUACCAGAAAGGGACGGCUAACUACGUGCCAGCAGCCGCGGUAAUACGUAGGUCCCGAGCGUUGUCCGGAUUUAUUGGGCGUAAAGCGAGCGCAGGCGGUUUGAUAAGUCUGAAGUUAAAGGCUGUGGCUCAACCAUAGUUCGCUUUGGAAACUGUCAAACUUGAGUGCAGAAGGGGAGAGUGGAAUUCCAUGUGUAGCGGUGAAAUGCGUAGAUAUAUGGAGGAACACCGGUGGCGAAAGCGGCUCUCUGGUCUGUAACUGACGCUGAGGCUCGAAAGCGUGGGGAGCGAACAGGAUUAGAUACCCUGGUAGUCCACGCCGUAAACGAUGAGUGCUAGGUGUUGGAUCCUUUCCGGGAUUCAGUGCCGCAGCUAACGCAUUAAGCACUCCGCCUGGGGAGUACGACCGCAAGGUUGAAACUCAAAGGAAUUGACGGGGGCCCGCACAAGCGGUGGAGCAUGUGGUUUAAUUCGAAGCAACGCGAAGAACCUUACCAGGUCUUGACAUCCCGAUGCUAUUUCUAGAGAUAGAAAGUUACUUCGGUACAUCGGUGACAGGUGGUGCAUGGUUGUCGUCAGCUCGUGUCGUGAGAUGUUGGGUUAAGUCCCGCAACGAGCGCAACCCCUAUUGUUAGUUGCCAUCAUUCAGUUGGGCACUCUAGCGAGACUGCCGGUAAUAAACCGGAGGAAGGUGGGGAUGACGUCAAAUCAUCAUGCCCCUUAUGACCUGGGCUACACACGUGCUACAAUGGUUGGUACAACGAGUUGCGAGUCGGUGACGGCGAGCUAAUCUCUUAAAGCCAAUCUCAGUUCGGAUUGUAGGCUGCAACUCGCCUACAUGAAGUCGGAAUCGCUAGUAAUCGCGGAUCAGCACGCCGCGGUGAAUACGUUCCCGGGCCUUGUACACACCGCCCGUCACACCACGAGAGUUUGUAACACCCGAAGUCGGUGAGGUAACCUUUUGGAGCCAGCCGCCUAAGGUGGGACAGAUGAUUGGGGGA